AGAAGCUAUAUUAAUGCAAGGAUUAUUAUUAUUACUGUAAAUUUCUACCGAUCGUACUUGAAUGGUGCUGGUUUGAUUACACAUUUUUAUAUAUUUAUAGAUCAAUGUUUCUUUAUGCACAGGGCACAUUUUGAACACUUGUUUACCUGUCUGCAAAAGAUCUUUCCAGGUUACAUCUCUCUACCCAUCUGCAGAUGCUGGUAACACAUUGGGAUAUUUAAAUAAUUCCUUAGCUCCACACGAAGAAAUCAUCGGAUCCUCUUAUCAAAGACAUCCAUUUAUUAUGCAGAUUCCAUGAGAAUUCCUUUCAGGCGAAUCGUGAGCAACAAUUCGAUAGGCCAGGACUCUUUCAGCUUUGAAAAGAAACACAUUGAGUGGACCUCAUAGUAGAAUCAGUCUGUACAGAAACCAGAAGUGUUCCUUCCAUUCCCGAGCUUCGUAAGAUCUUUAACCAAAUUAUAGAGCUGACCCGAGCUGAAGUUCGAUGGAUCGAAUGACCUCCUCCUAUAUGCCUUUAUGAUUUUAUGAGCACUCCUGCUUUUUUCUUUAAAAGAAAAGGUUGCUUUUCGCCAAACGAGCAAAAAAAAACGAAGAAACAGAAGCUCGCAGAGAUUGUUAUCGAACGUGUGUGACCAGAUUCCCGAUGUAACACUGCUUACGGCUACUUCGUAAAGUAAAUGGGGAAACAAUAAAUGUCAACGUAGGAGGUUUUGUUUUAAUUGCGAGACUUCAUUAAAAACAUCUGUCUGACCCAAGGAAUCGGUUAGCUUUUGUGUGUGUGUCCCAUGUGCUAAUAGCUGUCGUGAAAGGUCUGGCGAUAUGGAACAUAAAACACACACACACACACAACUCCCACAUUAACAAGUAAUUGAAACUUGUGGCUUCACUGUCUGCAAACAGAAUGCGGUUGUCAACAGCUCACUGUAUCACGGAGUUGUUUCGCUAUUGGCCAGCAAUAAUAAUAAUAUAAUAAUAAUUAACAAUAAUAUAAUAAUUAU
Long non-coding RNA from Callorhinchus milii (elephant shark), 998 nucleotides. RefSeq lists it as uncharacterized. The transcript is spliced from 4 exons. The record is from RefSeq and is a predicted model, not a curated record. NCBI's taxonomy places the organism in Eukaryota, Metazoa, Chordata, Chondrichthyes, Chimaeriformes, Callorhinchidae.